GAUGAACGCUGGCGGCGUGCCUAACACAUGCAAGUCGAACGGAGAUUACGGACGGAAGUUUUCGGAUGGAAGACUGUAAUUCUUAGUGGCGGACGGGUGAGUAACGCGUGGGCAACCUGCCCUAUACAGGGGGAUAGCAGCUGGAAACGGCUGGUAAGACCGCAUAAGUCGGCGAGACCGCAUGGUUUUGCCGGGAAAUGAGCAAUCAGGUAUAGGAUGGGCCCGCGUCCGAUUAGCCGGUUGGCAGGGUAAAAGCCUACCAAAGCAACGAUCGGUAGCCGGACUGAGAGGUCGGACGGCCACAUUGGGACUGAGACACGGCCCAAACUCCUACGGGAGGCAGCAGUGGGGGAUAUUGCACAAUGGAGGAAACUCUGAUGCAGCGACGCCGCGUGAGUGAAGAAGUAUUUCGGUAUGUAAAGCUCUAUCAGCAGGGAAGAUGAUGACGGUACCUGACUAAGAAGCCCCGGCUAACUACGUG
Molecule: ribosomal RNA, 481 nt
Filed under: uncultured bacterium
Lineage: Bacteria
Description: partial 16S ribosomal RNA
Rfam family: Bacterial small subunit ribosomal RNA
Source: RNAcentral